RNAcentral lists this transfer RNA (401 nucleotides) under Yarrowia lipolytica. The record is from RNAcentral. Lineage: Eukaryota; Fungi; Ascomycota; Dipodascomycetes; Dipodascales.
CCAAGAUUAAACUGGAAACUGUUUAAACAGGAUGCGGUAAAGUAGAGCCAGUACUCUGCAAACCAAAAAAAUUAAUGUCCAUUUCAAAGUUCGUGUCGCUCACAAAAAUGGCAAAAAUGAUAUCCGUGAGAUUCGAACUCACGCCUCCGAAGAGACCAGGAAAUUCGUUAAGGUAUUAGCCUUAACCUGGCGCCUUAGACCGCUCGGCCAGGAUACCGGAAGAUGAAUUUGUCAGAAACCAGAUCCGCUUUAGUCAGUAGUUCAGCUCAGACCAGAUGACGAAGCGUCGACAAACCAACCGACAGCGCCCCGCAGCGCACAUCGCAAAGAUUCAGAAGUGUAUGAUUUAUUGAAUGCCAAUAACCCGGCUUACUAGGUAUAUAGCUGUAAUGAAUCAUUAG